GAUGAACGCUGGCGGCGUGCCUAAUACAUGCAAGUCGAGCGAACCACUUCGGUGGAGAGCGGCGAACGGGUGAGUAACACGUAGGUCAUCUACCCAUUAGACGGGGAUAACGUUUGGAAACGAACGCUUAUACCGGAUAGGAUGCAAAUUUAAAGGUGCUUUCGGGCACCGCUAAUGGAUGAGCCUUCGGCGCAUUAGCUAGUUGGUAAGGUAAGAGCUUACCAAGGCGACGAUGCGUAGCCGACCUGAGAGGGUGAACGGCCACACUGGGACUGGGCAACGGCCCAGACUCCUACGGGAGGCAGCAGUAGGGAAUCUUCGGCAAUGGACGAAAGUCUGACCGAGCAACGCCGCGUGAAUGAAGAAGGCCUUCGGGUCGUAAAAUUCUGUUAUAAGGGGAGAAAGGUUAGAGUAGGAAAUGGCUCUAAAGUGACGGUACCUUAUGAGAAAGCCACGGCUAACUACGUGCCAGCAGCCGCCGUAA
Molecule: ribosomal RNA, 484 nt
Filed under: uncultured bacterium
Lineage: Bacteria
Description: partial 16S ribosomal RNA
Rfam family: Bacterial small subunit ribosomal RNA
Source: RNAcentral